GUUUGACAUGGCUAGUAUAGUUUCCAGAGAUGGAUUCUUUCAGUUCGGCUGGCUAGCACACAGGUGCUGCAUGGCUGUCGUCAGCUCGUGUCGUGAGAUGUUGGGUUAAGUCCCGCAACGAGCGCAACCCUCGCCUUUAGUUACCAUCAUUCAGUUGGGUACUCUAAAGGAACCGCCGGUGAUAAGCCGGAGGAAGGUGGGGAUGACGUCAAGUCCUCAUGGCCCUUACGCGCUGGGCUACACACGUGCUACAAUGGCAACUACAGUGGGCAGCAAUCCCGCGAGGGUGAGCUAAUCUCCAAAAGUUGUCUCAGUUCGGAUUGCACUCUGCAACUCGAGUGCAUGAAGGCGGAAUCGCUAGUAAUCGCGGAUCAGCAUGCCGCGGUGAAUACGUUCCCAGGCCUUGUACACACCGCCCGUCACACCAUGGGAGUUGGAUUCACCCGAAGGCGUUGCGCUAACCCGUAAGGGAGGCAGGCGACCACGGUGGGUUUAGCGACUGGGGUGA
RNAcentral lists this ribosomal RNA (508 nucleotides) under uncultured bacterium. Its description in RNAcentral is "bacterial SSU rRNA". It matches the Rfam family "Bacterial small subunit ribosomal RNA", at positions 979 to 1483 of the family's 1533-position model. The record is from RNAcentral.